CCCUUAGAUGUUCUGGGCUGCACGCGCGCUACACUGAAGCGUUCAACGAGUAUUCACCUUGCCCGGGAGGGUUGGGUAAUCUUUUGAAAACGCUUCGUGAUGGGGAUAGAUUAUUGCAAUUAUUAAUCUUCAACGAGGAAUUCCUAGUAAGCGCGAGUCAUCAGCUCGUGCUGAUUACGUCCCUGCCCUUUGUACACACCGCCCGUCGCUCCUACCGGUUGAGUGAUCCGGUGAAUAAUUCGGACUGCAGCACUGCUUGGUCUCCAGGCUUUGCAGCGGAAAGUUUAGUGAACCUUAUCACUUAGAGGAAGGAGAANUCGUANCA
This 325-nucleotide ribosomal RNA is filed under the name uncultured eukaryote. Its description in RNAcentral is "partial 18S ribosomal RNA". It matches the Rfam family "Eukaryotic small subunit ribosomal RNA", at positions 1470 to 1796 of the family's 1831-position model. The record is from RNAcentral.